Molecule: long non-coding RNA, 375 nt
Filed under: Salmo trutta (river trout)
Lineage: Eukaryota; Metazoa; Chordata; Actinopteri; Salmoniformes; Salmonidae
Description: lncRNA (ENSSTUG00000050096.1)
Source: RNAcentral
GCAUCUGUUAGGAAGCCCCUGCACUCAGCUCCUCUCUGCCUCACCACAAGGUCUUUCUGAGGGGUAGCAGGACAGUUCUCUGUAGCGUUGGCUAGAUUCACCACAGGGAGUGUGUGUAGUGUGGCAAGUCAUUUAGAGAGUGUGGAAGGUCACAGAGGAGAAAGGUUGUUAUUUGGGAUCUGAAGGCUGUUGAUAUAAGCAAUACCUGUCUGUGGCAUACACCUGUUCUCUGAUCAAAUGAUAAGGUGUUUCUCCUUCACAGGGAACCGACGACUGAAUCUCUUGUCCUACAAAGGCUUCCUGCAGUUUAAUGGGAGCUGUGGAAGUCUCCGUAGCAGUGGGGGCGCAGGUCUGGCACACUAAGACAACUGUGGA